Athalia rosae (coleseed sawfly) is the source of this 739-nucleotide long non-coding RNA. RefSeq lists it as uncharacterized. The record is from RefSeq and is a predicted model, not a curated record. The transcript is spliced from 2 exons. Lineage: Eukaryota; Metazoa; Arthropoda; Insecta; Hymenoptera; Athaliidae.
GCAUCUAUGCACGUAACUACGUAGUACGUACAUACGUACGGUAUACAUACAUGUAUGUAUACACACGUUUCUAGGGAUCGAUCAAGUCCACUGAUAUUCGGAGUCGCCUGAUGCUGCUCUACCACUGCUGACCGUGGCCGGCGAAGGUGCCACGUUGCGAGGGCUCCAUCGACGCUUGUUUUGUAUACCGGCAAUAAUAAUUGGCGACACGGGCGUUGGGCUGGGUUCGGGUUUCUCCUGAACUCCGAGUCGGUAAUGAUAUCCGGCACGGGGUUCACAGGUAGGCCGACCAUUGACCUCAGUCACGGGGACGGGGCCCGCGUCGAGCUGGCUGAAUGCCUAUGCAACGGAAUAGUAGAAGAGUGCUGCUGACUCCAGGCCGAACGAACCGACUAAGCUGACGCACAUUCCAAACCAUCUCCGUUCGCGCCGCCGAUCCGAACGGCUAACCGAAGGUGCAUUUCGAAUCCUACAACUCCGAGUUGACUCCCAGGGGUCCCACAAUCUGACAGAGAUAGUAGGACAACAAUAACAUCGCUGCGAUGAAUGGGAACACUAUAGGAAUAACAGGAAAAAGAUUGACACCAGCAAUAAUCACGAUCAUACGAAUAUCGCUGUUAAUACCACUAUGAUAAUAUUAGUGUUGUACCAAAAAUAGUCACGACAAUGAUACGAAGACGAGAGGAGCUUCUUUUUCGCUUUGUUUAUUCAAUAUGAUUUUUCUUAUAAAUUGAUAUCC